Molecule: ribosomal RNA, 451 nt
Filed under: uncultured bacterium
Lineage: Bacteria
Description: bacterial SSU rRNA
Rfam family: Bacterial small subunit ribosomal RNA
Source: RNAcentral
GUAGGGAAUAUUGCGCAAUGGGGGCAACCCUGACGCAGCAAUGCCGCGUGAGUGAGGAAGGCCUUCGGGUUGUAAAACUCUGUCCUUGGGGAAAAAUGACAUAGAGAUGAAUAAGCUUUAUGAGUGAUGGUACCCAAGAAGAAAGCACCGGCUAACUUCGUGCCAGCAGCCGCGGUAAUACGAAGGGUGCAAGCGUUGUUCGGAUUUAUUGGGCGUAAAGCGCGCGCAGGCGGAUUUAUAAGUCAGGUGUGAAAUCUCGGGGCUCAACCCCGAAAGUGCGCCUGAAACUGUGAAUCUAGAAUUCUGGAGAGGGAAGGGGAAUUUCUCAUGUAGGGGUAAAAUCCGUAGAUAUGAGAAGGAACACCGGAGGCGAAGGCGCCUUCCUGGACAGAUAUUGACGCUGAGGCGCGAAAGCGUGGGGAGCAAACAGGAUUAGAUACCCUAGUAGUCC